This 633-nucleotide ribosomal RNA is filed under the name Pseudomonas azotoformans. RNAcentral describes it as "bacterial SSU rRNA". It matches the Rfam family "Bacterial small subunit ribosomal RNA", at positions 47 to 675 of the family's 1533-position model. Lineage: Bacteria; Pseudomonadati; Pseudomonadota; Gammaproteobacteria; Pseudomonadales; Pseudomonadaceae. The record is from RNAcentral.
CCUAACACAUGCAAGUCGAGCGGUAGAGAGAAGCUUGCUUCUCUUGAGAGCGGCGGACGGGUGAGUAAUGCCUAGGAAUCUGCCUGGUAGUUGGGGGAUAACGUUCGGAAACGGACGCUAAUACCGCAUACGUCCUACGGGAGAAAGCAGGGGACCUUCGGGCCUUGCGCUAUCAGAUGAGCCUAGGUCGGAUUAGCUAGUUGGUGAGGUAAUGGCUCACCAAGGCGACGAUCCGUAACUGGUCUGAGAGGAUGACAGUCACACUGGAAUGAGACACGGUCCAGACUCCUACGGGAGGCAGCAGUGGGGAAUAUUGGACAAUGGGCGAAAGCCUGAUCCAGCCAUGCCGCGUGUGUGAAGAAGGUCAUCGGAUUGUAAAGCACUUUAAGUUGGCGAGGAAGGGUUGUAGAUUAAUACUCUGCAAUUUUGACGUUACCGACAGAAUAAGCACCGGCUAACUCUGUGCCAGCAGCCGCGGUAAUACAGAGGGUGCAAGCGUUAAUCGGAAUUACUGGGCGUAAAGCGCGCGUAGGUGGUUUGUUAAGUUGGAUGUGAAAUCCCCGGGCUCAACCUGGGAACUGCAUUCAAAACUGACUGACUAGAGUAUGGUAGAGGGUGGUGGAAUUUCCUGUG